RNAcentral lists this ribosomal RNA (253 nucleotides) under uncultured bacterium. RNAcentral's name for it is "partial 16S ribosomal RNA". It matches the Rfam family "Bacterial small subunit ribosomal RNA", at positions 524 to 776 of the family's 1533-position model. The record is from RNAcentral.
UACGGAGGGGGCUAGCGUUGUUCGGAAUUACUGGGCGUAAAGCGCGCGUAGGCGGCUUUGUAAGUCAGAGGUGAAGGCCUGGAGCUCAACUCCAGAACUGCCUUUGAAACUACAUCGCUAGAAUCAUGGAGAGGUUAGUGGAAUUCCGAGUGUAGAGGUGAAAUUCGUAGAUAUUCGCAGGAACACCAGUGGCGAAGGCGACUUGCUGGAUCUUUGCUGACGCUGAGACGCGAAAGCGUGGGGAGCAAACAGG